AGCAUAUCAAUAAGCGGAGGAAAAGAAACCAACAGGGAUUGCCUUAGUAACGGCGAGUGAAGCGGCAACAGCUCAAAUUUGAAAUCUGGCUCUUUCAGGGUCCGAGUUGUAAUUUGUAGAAGAUGCUUCGGGUGUGGUACCGGUCUAAGUUCCUUGGAACAGGACGUCAUAGAGGGUGAGAAUCCCGUAUGUGACUGGUCACCUUCGCUCAUGUGAAGCUCUUUCGACGAGUCGAGUUGUUUGGGAAUGCAGCUCAAAAUGGGUGGUAAAUUUCAUCUAAAGCUAAAUAUUGGCCAGAGACCGAUAGCGCACAAGUAGAGUGAUCGAAAGAUGAAAAGCACUUUGGAAAGAGAGUUAAACAGUACGUGAAAUUGUUGAAAGGGAAGCGCUUGCAACCAGACUUGCACGUAGUUAAUCAUCCGGGGUUUUCCCCGGUGCACUUGGCUACGUUCAGGCCAGCAUCGGUUUCGGUGGUUGGAUAAAGGCCUAGGGAAUGUGGCUCCCUUCGGGGAGUGUUAUAGCCCUAGGUGCAAUGCAGCCCACUGGGACCGAGGACCGCGCUUCGGCUAGGAUGCUGGCGUAAUGGUUGUAAGCGACCCGUCU
This 603-nucleotide ribosomal RNA is filed under the name uncultured fungus. Its description in RNAcentral is "eukaryotic LSU rRNA". It matches the Rfam family "Eukaryotic large subunit ribosomal RNA", at positions 37 to 654 of the family's 3401-position model. Lineage: Eukaryota; Fungi. The record is from RNAcentral.